Molecule: ribosomal RNA, 467 nt
Filed under: uncultured bacterium
Lineage: Bacteria
Description: partial 16S ribosomal RNA
Rfam family: Bacterial small subunit ribosomal RNA
Source: RNAcentral
GACGAACGCUGGCGGCGUGCUUAACACAUGCAAGUCGAACGGAAAGGCCCUGCUUUUGUGGGGUGCUCGAGUGGCGAACGGGUGAGUAGCACGUGAGUAACCUGCCCUUGACUUUGGGAUAACUUCAGGAAACUGGGGCUAAUACCGGAUAGGAGCUCCUGCUGCAUGGUGGGGGUUGGAAAGUUUCGGCGGUUGGGGAUGGACUCGCGGCUUAUCAGCUUGUUGGUGGGGUAGUGGCUUACCAAGGCUUUGACGGGUAGCCGGCCUGAGAGGGUGACCGGCCACAUGGGGACUGAGAUACGGCCCAGACUCCUACGAGAGACAGCAGUGGGGAAUAUUGCACAAGGGGCGGGAGCCGGAUGCAGCAGCGCCGCGUGGGGGAUGACGGCCUUCGGGUUGAAACCGCUUUCGCCUGUGACGAAGCGUGAGUGACGGUAAUGGGUAAAGAAGCACCGGCUAACUACGUG